GAAUGUGAGAGCGAUCUGGCUGCGACAUCUGUCACCUCAUGGGUCACCAUGGUGGAUCUGGCUAAUCUGACUGGCUCAGCGGGUGUCCCCUUCCUCCCUCAGCACUCCAACUGCAUCCUUCCCAAAGCUGUCUAGGCACUUGGUAGAAGAGGACGAGCACCCCGGAUAAAGAAGGACUGUGUCUUCCACCAAGGGUAUAGAAGUAGCUGUGUUCCUGCUAGAACCUCCAAAAAAGCUCUCAAAAUAAACUUUCUCCUUUAACUUGUGGAUGUCAGGUACUGUGUCUCAACAAGAAAAGUAACCACGACAAAGGACAUUAUGAAGAAAGUGAGAAGAUCCUGU
RNAcentral lists this small nuclear RNA (342 nucleotides) under Chinchilla lanigera (long-tailed chinchilla). RNAcentral describes it as "7SK RNA (ENSCLAG00000021850.1)". The stretch from base 1 to 299 matches the Rfam family "7SK RNA". From Rfam's summary of the family: 7SK was discovered as an abundant small nuclear RNA in the mid-70s but a possible function has only recently been suggested. Two independent studies have found that 7SK RNA binds the CDK9/cyclin T complex (known as elongation factor P-TEFb). Lineage: Eukaryota; Metazoa; Chordata; Mammalia; Rodentia; Chinchillidae. The record is from RNAcentral.